ACGGCUCAGUAACACGUGGAUAACCUACCCAAGAGUCUGGGAUAACCCCGGGAAACUGGGGAUAAUACCGGAUAGGUCAUUCGGGCUGGAAGGCUGUUUGGCUGAAACCUUUGGGGCUUUUGGAUGGGUCUGCGGCUGAUUAGGUUGUUGCCGGUGUAACGUACCGUCAAGCCUGUAAUCAGUACGGGUUGUGGGAGCAAGAGCCCGGAGAUGGAUUCUGAGACACGAAUCCAGGCCCUACGGGGCGCAGCAGGCGCGAAAACUUUACAAUGCAGGCAACUGCGAUAGGGGAACAUCGAGUGCUCAUCAUAUUGGUGGGCUGUCCAUCCGCCUAAAAAGCGGGUGUUAGCAAGGGCCGGGCAAGACCGGUGCCAGCCGCCGCGGUAAUACCGGCGGCUCGAGUGGUGGCCGAUAUUAUUGAGUCUAAAGGGUCCGUAGCCGGCUUUGCAAGUCUCUCGGGAAAUCCAGCGGCUUAACCGUUGGUCGGCCGGGGGGUACUACAUUGCUUGGGACUGGGAGAGGUAGGAGGUACUCAGGGGGUAGGAGUGAAAUCCUGUAAUCCUCUGGGGACCACCGGUGGCGAAGGCGUCCUACCAGAACAGGUCCGACGGUGAGGGACGAAAGCUAGGGGCACGAACCGGAUUAGAUACCCGGGUAGUCCUAGCCGUAAACGAUGCUCGCUAGGUGUCGCAACAGUCGUGAAUUGUUGCGGUGCCGUAGGGAAGCCGUGAAGCGAGCCACUUGGGAAGUACGACCGCAAGGUUGAAACUUAAAGGAAUUGGCGGGGGAGCAC
Molecule: ribosomal RNA, 793 nt
Filed under: uncultured archaeon
Lineage: Archaea
Description: bacterial SSU rRNA
Rfam family: Archaeal small subunit ribosomal RNA
Source: RNAcentral